RNAcentral lists this ribosomal RNA (497 nucleotides) under uncultured bacterium. Its description in RNAcentral is "partial 16S ribosomal RNA". It matches the Rfam family "Bacterial small subunit ribosomal RNA", at positions 28 to 507 of the family's 1533-position model. The record is from RNAcentral.
GAUGAACGCUGGCGGCGUGCCUAAUACAUGCAAGUCGAGCGAACAGACGAGGAGCUUGCUCCUCUGACGUUAGCGGCGGACGGGUGAGUAACACGUGGAUAACCCACCUAUAAGACUGGGAUAACUUCGGGAAACCGGAGCUAAUACCGGAUAAUAUAUUGAACCGCAUGGUUCAAUAGUGAAAGACGGUUUUGUUGUCACUUAUAGAUGGGUCCGCGCCGCAUUAGCUAGUUGGUAAGGUAACGGGUUACCAAGGCAACGAUGCAUAGCCGACCUGAGAGGGUGAUCGGCCACACUGGAACUGAGCCACGGUCCAGACUCCUACGGGAGGCAGCAGUAGGGAAUCUUCCGCAAUGGGCGAAAGCUUGACGGAGCAACGCCGCGUGAGUGAAGAAGGUCUUCGGAUCGUAAAACUCUGUUAUUAGGGAAGAACAAAUGUGUAAGUAACUAUGCACGUCUUGACGGUACCUAAUCAGAAAGCCACGGCUAACUACGUG